AUAUGGCUCAGGAUGAACGCUAGCUACAGGCUUAACACGUGCAAGUCGAGGGGCAGCAUGGUCUUAGCUUGCUAAGGCCGAUGGCGACCGGCGCACGGGUGAGUAACGCGUAUCCAACCUGCCUUACACUCUUGGACAGCCUUCUGAAAGGGAGAUUAAUACAAGAUGUUAUCAUGAGUAAGCAUUUUCACAUGAUUAAAGGUUUACCGGUGUAAGAUGGGGAUGCGUUCCAUUAG
This 236-nucleotide ribosomal RNA is filed under the name uncultured bacterium. RNAcentral's name for it is "partial 16S ribosomal RNA". It matches the Rfam family "Bacterial small subunit ribosomal RNA", at positions 17 to 244 of the family's 1533-position model. The record is from RNAcentral.